CCUGGCGGCGAGCGGCGAACGGGUGAGUAAUACAUCGGAACGUGUCCCGUAGUGGGGGAUAGCCCGGCGAAAGCCGGAUUAAUACCGCAUAUGCUCUACGGAGGAAAGUGGGGGACUCGCAAGGGCCUCACGCUAUGGGAGCGGCCGAUGUCCGAUUAGCUUGUUGGCGGGGUAAUGGCCCACCAAGGCGACGAUCGGUAGCUGGUCUGAGAGGAUGAUCAGCCACACUGGGACUGAGACACGGCCCAGACUCCUACGGGAGGCAGCAGUGGGGAAUUUUGGACAAUGGGGGAAACCCUGAUCCAGCCAUGCCGCGUGCGGGAAGAAGGCCUUCGGGUUGUAAACCGCUUUUGGUCGGAAAGAAAAGGCGCUCUCUAAUACGGGGCGUUCUUGACGGUACCGGCAGAAUAAGCACCGGCUAACUACGUGCCAGCAGCCGCGGUAAUACGUAGGGUGCGAGCGUUAAUCGGAAUUACUGGGCGUAAAGCGUGCGCAGGCGGUUCUCCAAGUCCGUUGUGAAAGCCCCGGGCUCAACCUGGGAAUGGCAGUGGAAACUAGGGGACUUGAAUCUGGCAGAGGGGGGUGGAAUUCCACGUGUAGCAGUGAAAUGCGUAGAGAUGUGGAGGAACACCGAUGGCGAAGGCAGCCCCCU
This 652-nucleotide ribosomal RNA is filed under the name uncultured bacterium. RNAcentral's name for it is "bacterial SSU rRNA". It matches the Rfam family "Bacterial small subunit ribosomal RNA", at positions 84 to 730 of the family's 1533-position model. The record is from RNAcentral.